UUCAUGGCAUUUACUAAUAUGGGACGACAUAUCGUACAUUUUUACACAAGUAACGGACAUGAGCGCAAGACUGAACACAAGAAUUAAUGCUAACACCUCAUAAGAAAAGUUAACAAGGUUGAGGAUUGCUCUAUUUCUCUUACUUUUUUUUAAUCAAGUACUAACUCUAUAGUGUACGUGUCAGUGGCUAUUAACUCCCAAUUCAUUUAGAUGUCAUCCGGAAUUAAAAAACGGAUAACAAAUUUCGGAUAAUGACUAAAUAUUGUUCCAAUGUGGCACCUCAACUUUUGUACCAUCGCUCUCAUCCC
Non-coding RNA from Schizosaccharomyces pombe (fission yeast), 308 nucleotides. Lineage: Eukaryota; Fungi; Ascomycota; Schizosaccharomycetes; Schizosaccharomycetales; Schizosaccharomycetaceae. The record is from the annotation of a GenBank genome assembly.